This is a long non-coding RNA of Oncorhynchus keta (chum salmon), 1300 nucleotides long. RefSeq lists it as uncharacterized. NCBI's taxonomy places the organism in Eukaryota, Metazoa, Chordata, Actinopteri, Salmoniformes, Salmonidae. The record is from RefSeq and is a predicted model, not a curated record. The transcript has 5 exons.
UAGGACGGGACAGGGUGGGACAGGACAGAUAAUGUUAGAUCAUCCUACUGGGGAGAGGAGAGAGAGUCAGGAUUGUUGAAGAGCCUGUGGGGGAAAUGCAGUCUGAAUACAGUGUUGACUUUAAGGUUGAAUAGGUGUUGUCACAAAGGUGGAUUCCCUCAAGGGCUUGAGGUGUGUGUGUCCUGAGGUGUGUGUCCUGAGGUGUGUGUGUGUGUCCUGAGGUGUGUGUGUGUCCUGAGGUGUGUCCUGAGGUGUGUGUUUCCUUGCUGUGUGUCCUGAGGUGUGUGUGUUUCCUUGCUGUGUGUCCUGAGGUGUGUGUGUUUCCUUGCUGUGUGUCCUGAGGUGUGUGUUUCCUUGCUGUGUGUCCUGAGGUGUGUGUGUUUCCUUGCUGUGUGUCCUGAGGUGUGUGUGUUUCCUUGCUGUGUGUCCUGAGGUGUGUGUGUUUCCUUGCUGUGUGUCCUGAGGUGUGUGUGUUUCCUUGCUGUGUGUCCUGAGGUGUGUGUGUUUCCUUGCUGUGUGUCCUGAGGUGUGUGUGUUUCCUUGCUGUGUGUCCUGAGGUGUGUGUGUUUCCUUGCUGUGUGUCCUGAGGUGUGUGUGUUUCCUUGCUGUGUGUCCUGAGGUGUGUGUGUUUCCUUGCUGUGUGUCCUGAGGUGUGUGUGUUUCCUUGCUGUGUGUCCUGAGGUGUGUGUGUUUCCUUGCUGUGUGUCCUGAGGUGUGUGUGUUUCCUUGCUGUGUGUCCUGAGGUGUGUGUGUUUCCUUGCUGUGUGUCCUGAGGUGUGUGUGUUUCCUUGCUGUGUGUCCUGAGGUGUGUGUGUUUCCUUGCUGUGUGUCCUGAGGUGUGUGUGUUUCCUUGCUGUGUGUCCUGAGGUGUGUGUUUCCUUGCUGUGUGUCCUGAGGUGUGUGUGUGUUUCGUAGAGAUACGUGCCUCUCUGUGGGGUUGACUGGCUGUGCUGUUGGCCUUGGGGCAGACAGUUUGGGGCAGACUGUUUGGGGCAGACGGUUUGGGGCAGACUGUUUGGGGCAGACUGUUUGGGGCAGACUGUUUGGGGCAGACUGUUUGGGGCAGACUGUUUGGGGCAGACUGUUUGGGGCAGACUGUUUGGGGCAGACUGUUUGGGGCAGACUGUUUGGGGCAGACUGUUUGGGGCAGACUGUUUGGGGCAGACUGUUUGGGGCAGACUGUUUGGGGCAGACUGUUUGGGGCAGACUGUUUGGGGCAGACUGUUUGGGGCAGACUGUUUGGGGCAGACUGUUUGGGGCAGACUGUUUGGGGCAGACUGUUUGGGGCAGACUGUUUGGG